This 293-nucleotide ribosomal RNA is filed under the name uncultured Enterobacteriaceae bacterium. RNAcentral's name for it is "partial 16S ribosomal RNA". It matches the Rfam family "Bacterial small subunit ribosomal RNA", at positions 355 to 629 of the family's 1533-position model. The record is from RNAcentral. Lineage: Bacteria; Pseudomonadati; Pseudomonadota; Gammaproteobacteria; Enterobacterales; Enterobacteriaceae.
UGGGGAAUAUUGCACAAUGGGCGCAAGCCUGAUGCAGCCAUGCCGCGUGUAUGAAGAAGGCCUUCGGGUUGUAAAGUACUUUCAGCGGAGGAGGAAGGCGUUAAGGUUAAUAACCUUAUGCUGAUUGACUGUUACCUCGACAAGAAGAAGCCGAACCGGCCUAACUCCGUGCCAGCAGCCGCGGUAAUACGGAGGGUGCAAGCGUUAAUCGGAAUUACUGGGCGUAAAGCGCACGCAGGCGGUCUGUCAAGUCGGAUGUGAAAUCCCCGGGCUCAACCUGGGAACUGCAUUCG